UCGUGCUCUGAGGCUCGACCGUCUCUCCUCCUCCUCCUCCUCCUGCAUCAUCUGCUCAGUGAUGUGAUGAACGGCUGCGGCCUUAAGGGACGAGUCAUGUGACCACACACAGGAAGUCAAUUAACAAAGACGGUUACGUAAGGCAAGAGCGGAGCCUGGCGGAGGUGUCCAUGUUGCCAUGGCGUCCUGUGUGACUGUGUACAAAGAUGGACGACAUGAAAGCUCCAUGAGCGACCCCUGGACCCUGAACUCUCUGACACUGCUUCACAAACACCAACUACACAACUCGUCAUCUCAACAGUUGGUCCUCGCUUCUCUGGAUGAACUGACUUCUCUCUCAACGGUCUGAAAUAACUGAAGUGAUGAGACACUACACUCGUCUGUCUGCUGCUUUCCACCGGAGGUUUCUCCAGAUUGCCUCCACUCCCACAAUGCAUCUGUGGUGACGGCCCCUCCGGUGGUCUUGGCAGAGGACUGUGGGAGUGUUGGCAGCAGAGCUUCACAGUUCAGACGCUUCGAUAUACAAUUAAAUCAAGAAUCUGCUGCAUUUCUACUAAAAAUAACCAAGUCUGUGACUCA
Non-coding RNA from Paralichthys olivaceus (Japanese flounder), 579 nucleotides. Lineage: Eukaryota; Metazoa; Chordata; Actinopteri; Pleuronectiformes; Paralichthyidae. The record is from RefSeq and is a predicted model, not a curated record.